UAUAACUCAAAUACAAAGUAAAAAGGAUGUAAACAAGAUAAUAACCAACUACCAACAUCUACGGACACAUGUCCGGAUCACUGUACAACAAGGGUAAACCCGGGAUCGCUAUAAUCUUCUUCCUUGAAGAUUGUUCCUUAGGCUUCAUACUGUUCUUGGUACAUCUGUUAUAGCAAAGCAAAGCUAAAAAAAAAAAAAUAAAAAAAAAUAAAAAAAAAAUUACAAUAUGCUCCAAAAUUAAUGGGUAAUCACCCUAUAAUCUCAUUUUGAUUGUUUGGUCAUUAUUGAUUGAGUUUUCUAAUUUUUUUGAUUUUUCGUCAAAAUUGGGUGAUUUUUCGAAAACCACUGUUUGAUCAUAUUUUUUCUGGUUCUGUCCCUUAUUCUCCUAUCCUUGGGAGCUGACUGGAACCCUAGAGGGUUUAUUGUCCUUGGUUUGAUGUAUUUUGGCCCUAUCUUGGUUUUUUUAUCGCUGUUCAGAUGCUCUGUUUCGAUUUUCUGGCUUGUAGUUGAUCUGGUUGCUCUAUUUUGGAUUUCUCUUGGACUGUUUUAGCCUUAGAAGGUGUUUUUGGUGUGCUGGUUGGGUGAUUUCUGGACUUGUUUGAUAUCCAGCUUGUGUUUUUUGCACCAUCUUUUCUCAUCUCAUGGCUGACAACUUGGGUCAGUACUCUAAGGGUAAGGAGGAGAGUGGACUGAGUCGUGGUCUUACUCUUGGUGAUAGUCCUUCUCUCCAGAUUAGUCCGGUCAAACUUAAUGGUUUUAAUUACUUGAUUUGGUCCCGCUCCUGUAGUCUUGCCAUUGUUGCCAGGCGUUUGACUGGCUAUAAUACUGGGAGUACCGAGCCACCUACUGAGGAUAGUGCUUUAUCUGCUCAAUGAAUUUCUGAGAAUGCUUUAGUUAUGACCUGGCUCAUCAAUUCUAUGGAGCCUAUCAUUAGUCGGACUUUUCUCUUGAUGGAUAUUGCUCACAAGAUCUGGAUAGCAGCCUCUUAGAUGUAUUCUCAACAAGGGAAUGAUGCACAGGCCUAUGAAUUGCGUAAGAAGAUUAGGGGUUUGGAUCAAAAGGAUCGCUCUCUGGCAGUCUACUAUGCUGAGUUGAGUGGUUUGUGGCAAGAGCUAGAUUUUUACUAGAGUUUCCAACCAGUUUGCUCUAAAGAUGCCACUAUGUUUCAGCAGGCUGUGGAGAAGGAGCGGGUGUAUGAUUUUCUUGCUGGUUUGAAUUUGGAGUAUUAUCAAAUACGGGUUCAGGUGUUGGGUUGCGCUCCGUUUCCUACAUUGCGUGAGGCUUAUGCCUUGGUUUAGUAGGAGGAGAGUCGUCGUAGUGCUAUGGUGCAUGCUCCUGUUCCGGAUCGGUCAACGAUGGUUGUCGGCCCCAAGUCACGUGAUACUCCGCCUUUUUAGCCUCCAGGUGGUGGUAAGGGUCCAUUAGUUCGUGAUUGUCCUAGGAAUAACUUUGUUUGUGAUUCUUGUGAGCUUGCUAAGCAUAAACGUACUUGUUAUCCUUCAAUUAAUAAAAGAAGUACUUUUCCUUUUAUGCUUAUUCAUACCGAUGUGUGGGGUCCUUUCCCUGUUGUUUCUACCUCUGGUUAUCGUUGGUUUGUCACAUUUAUUGAUUGUUAUUCCCGUGUGACUUGGCUUUAUUUACUUCGUACAAAAAAUGAGGUUUUCUCUUACUUCAAAAGUUUUCAUAAAAUGGUAUCCAAUCUUUUCAAUGCUACUAUCAAAAUUCUUAGGAGUGAUAAUGAGACUGAGUGUGUUGAUGGCGCUUUCCGGGCAUACCUGGACGAGCAUGGCAUUCUUUAUCAGACUAGUUGUGUUGGCACUCCUGAACAGAAUGGAGUUGCUGAACGUAAGAUUGGCCAUCUCCUUGAGGUUGCUCGCUCUCUCUUGUUUACCAUGAACGUUCCUAAUUCCUUUUGGGGGGAUGUAGUUCUUACCGCGACUUACCUUAUUAACCGUAUGCCAUCUAGUGUCCCUCACUUCCAACUUCCUCUUGAGCUUCUUCCUGUGACUUAUCCCAUUUCUUCCCUUCCGCCUUGGGUUUUUGGUUGUGUCUCAUCUUCACCCUCGUACUCGUGGGAAGCUUGAUCCUAAGGCUGUCCGGUGUGCCUUUCUUGGUUAUUCUGCUACUCAAAAAGGCUACAAAUGCUAUGACCCUCACUCUCAUAAGCUGUAUGUUAGUAUGGAUGUCACCUUCCGUGAAUUCAAGUCAUUCUUUUCUGGUCCUCCGCCAUCCCCUCAGGGGGAGCGUGGUAUCAAUGAGAUUGCGGAUGAGACGGCAUCAUAUCAACAUGAGUUGUCUUUUUUCCUUCCUACUCAGCGGGCUAUUAUUUGUGGUGAGGGGGAGCCUAGAAGUUCUGUUGAUGAGGAGUCGGAUAUCGGUGGUCGUUUGGACAAAGCUGAUCUUAAGACUUAUUCACGGCGUCAGAAAGAGCCGGCUUCUCUUGUGCCACCAAGUCAAUCAUCAUCUCCUAUGCCAGUUCCACACCCAGUGUCCACUAACUCUUCAGGUAAUGAUCCUCAUCUCAUUUCUUCACCUGUUGUUGAUGGUCCUGUUACGGAUGAUUUGAGUCUUCCUAUUGCUCUCAGAAAGGGGGUUAGAGCUUGUACUCAACACCCUAUUUCUAAAUUCGUGUCAUAUGAUUCGUUGCCUUCUCCGUAUUGUGCUUUUGUUUCGUCCCUUUCUUCUGUGUAUUCCGCAGGGUUGGAAAGAAGCCAUCAAUGAUCUUAAGUGGAAGGUAGCUAUGGUAGAAGAGAUGCAAGCUUUGAGUAAAAAUAACAUAUGAGAGUUGAUGUCUCUUCCGAAUGGGAAAAAACCAGUCGGAUGUGAGUGGGUGUUCACCAUUAAACACAAUGCAGAUGGGACGAUUGAACGGUACAAAGCAAGACUAGUGGCCAAGGGAUUUACCCAAACAUAUGGAGUAGAUUAUCAAGAAACUUUUGCCCCGGUAGCAAAGAUGAAUUCCAUUUGGGCUAUUCUGUCAUGUGCGGCUAAUUUGUGAUGGCCUCUACAACAACUAGAUCUGAAGAAUGCUUUUCUUCAUGGGGAUUUGGAGGAGGAGGUAUAUAUGGAUGUACCUCCAGGAUUCUCAUCUCAGUCUACAGUUGGAAAGGUUUGUAGAUUAAAGAAGGCUUUGUACGGUUUGAAACAAUCUCCUAGAACCUGGUUUGGUAGAUUUCUCAAGGCAAUGCUGGGAUUUGGGUAUCAGCAAAGCAAUGCGGAUCACACCUUGUUUGUCAAACGCAAUGUACAUAAGGUAAUAGUGCUUAUUGUAUAUGUGGAUGACAUAGUUGUGACAGGUAAUGAUGAGGAGGAGGUGACCCAUCUCAAGAUGCAGUUAGCCAAGGAGUUUGAGAUAAAAGAACUUGGUCCAUUGCGAUACUUUCUUGGGAUUGAAGUUGCUUGAUCUGAUAAAGGCAUCUUUAUUUCUCAAAGGAAGUACAUUCUAGAUCUUCUUGAGGAAACGGGCAUGUUGGGCUGUAGACCAGCUGAUUCACCAAUUGAGACUAAUCAUCAUCUUUGUAGUGGAAUUGGUGAGCCUGUGGAGAAGGAAAGGUACCAAAGACUUGUGGGAAGACUGAUAUAUCUCUCUCAUACUUGUCCAGAUAUUGCCUAUGCAGUUGGGAUAGUGAGUUAGUUUAUGCAUGAUCCUCGUGCAACUCAUUUGGAUGCAGUCUAUCGUAUUUUGAGGCUCUAUAGAUGACUGACGCUCUAUCUUCGGUUAUUGUGCUUUUGUAGGGGGAAAUUUAGUCACAUGGCGUAGUAAGAAGCAAGCGGUUGUUUCUAGAUGUAGUGCUGAAGCUGAAUACAGGGCUAUGGCACAUGGAACAUGUGAACUAAUGUGGCUUCAAUCUUUGUUGAGUGAUAUAGGGCUUGAUUGGAGUGGUCCCAUGACUUUGUAUUGCGACAACAAGGCUGCUAUUAGUAUAGCACACAAUCUUGUUCAACAUGAUCGGACUAAGCAUAUUGAGAUUGACAGACAUUUCAUUAAGGAGAAAUUGAUUAAGGGUUUGAUAUGUAUGCCUUUUGUUAAGUCUGAAGAUCAACUGGCGGAUGUUUUUAUUAAGGGUCUUAGUAGUAAAGUCUUUCAUCCUAUUUGUUGCAAGUUGAGCAUGAGAAACAUCUUUGCACCAACUUGAGGGGGAGUGUUAAGUGUUAGGGGUAGUUUGGUCUUUAUGUAUUAUUCUUAUUAGUAUAAGUAGUUAUGUGUAAGGGGGAAACCCUAUGCUUUUUGAAUCAAUAUUAUACAGCAGCUUUCUCUCGUUCUAUUUCUUCUUCUUCUUCUUCUCAUCUAUACAUUCAACAAUACUAAUUUAUGUUAAAGAGAACACAGAUCGAUCGAUCGAUUGAUCGAUUGAUUUUUAGUCUAUUGAUCGAUAUCAAACACUCUCUCUCUCUGGAUUUGAUCGAUUGAUUGCUUUCGUUCAGAUCUGUAAGUUUUAGUCCCUAUACGCAUAUUGACAUCCUCAAAUGCUUAGUAGUGUACAUUUAGGAUCUCUCUGUGUAAGUUUUUGUUCAGAUCUACGUAAAUCUCUAUUGUUUGAUCCAAAUCUUGGUCCUAGGAUUUGAUUUUGUUCAUUGUUGUGCGUCAAGUACUGAGCCGAUUGAAUUAUGUUGAGAUCUUUAACAUUUGAAAUUUCAAUUUUUUCUCAGUAACCAAGCAGUGUUUUUGUUUACUUUUCUAUGUAAUUUUCUUUGUUACUUCAUAGCUGUCUAAUCGAUUGUUAGUAUGAGGUUGUA
Camellia sinensis is the source of this 4737-nucleotide non-coding RNA. Lineage: Eukaryota; Viridiplantae; Streptophyta; Magnoliopsida; Ericales; Theaceae. The record is from RefSeq and is a predicted model, not a curated record.